This 460-nucleotide ribosomal RNA is filed under the name uncultured bacterium. RNAcentral's name for it is "partial 16S ribosomal RNA". It matches the Rfam family "Bacterial small subunit ribosomal RNA", at positions 338 to 795 of the family's 1533-position model. The record is from RNAcentral.
CCUACGGGUGACAGCAGUGAGGAAUAUUGGUCAAUGGACGAGAGUCUGAACCAGCCAAGUAGCGUGAAGGAUGACUGCCCUAUGGGUUGUAAACUUCUUUUAUAUGGGAAUAAAACGUUCCACGUGUGGGAUUUUGUAUGUACCAUAUGAAUAAGGAUCGGCUAACUCCGUGCCAGCAGCCGCGGUAAUACGGAGGAUCCGAGCGUUAUCCGGAUUUAUUGGGGUUAAAGGGAGCGUAGGUGGAUUGUUAAGUCAGUUGUGAAAGUUUGCGGCUCAACCGUAAAAUUGCAGUUGAAACUGGCAGUCUUGAGUACAGUAGAGGUGGGCGGAAUACGUGGUGUAGCGGUGAAAUGCUUAGAUAUCACGAAGAACUCCGAUUGCGAAGGCAGUUCACUGGACUGCAACUGACACUGAGGCUCGAAAGUGUGGGUAUCAAACAGGAUUAGAUACCCCUGUAGUC